RNAcentral lists this ribosomal RNA (669 nucleotides) under Triticum aestivum (bread wheat). Its description in RNAcentral is "partial small subunit ribosomal RNA". Lineage: Eukaryota; Viridiplantae; Streptophyta; Magnoliopsida; Poales; Poaceae. The record is from RNAcentral.
AUUUGCUCUUGGAAUGUACGUGGAUUAGGCGAUGAAGCCAAGUGCUCCGACAUCCUCUCUGAACUAAUUGCGAUCAAACCCCACAUUGCCCUCCUGCAAGAGUCUAAACUCGAUACUUACUCUGACCCCAAAUUAAGAUCAUUAUUGCCACAUCAUCUCAACCAAGUGUUCUUGCUUCCCACCAUGGGCACCGCUGGCGGCACUAUUUUUGCCGUCAAUACAACCUCCCUCAAAGUUAUCUUGUUUGCCCACCUCACCUUCUCCUCCACCCUAAUAUUGCAAUCAAUGGCAUGUGCUCGCAACAUUGACAUCACCAAUAUCUACGCUCCCUCUUCACGUGAGCUCAAGCAAUCUUUCCUAGAUGAACUCCUAGCUAUCUCACAACCAGAUGACUUGCCCUGGCUGAUCGCUGGAGACUUCAACCUACUUCGCUUCCCCUUUGACAAAAACAAUAAUGCCUUCCAACAUACUGAGGCCAACACUUUUCACCAAACCUUAGAUGACCUAGCCCUCAUCGAGCUACCGCUCCUUGAUCUCCAAUUUACUUGGUCGAACAUUAGAGAAAUGCCUACCUUAGAACGGAUCGAUCGCGCUUUCUUUAACCUAGCCUGGGCCGACGCCUUCCCUAACACAUCCCUAUCCUCUCUCACGCGUUUUACGUUCGAUCAU